This 479-nucleotide ribosomal RNA is filed under the name uncultured bacterium. RNAcentral's name for it is "partial 16S ribosomal RNA". It matches the Rfam family "Bacterial small subunit ribosomal RNA", at positions 30 to 507 of the family's 1533-position model. The record is from RNAcentral.
UGAACGCUGGCGGCGUGCUUAACACAUGCACGUCGAACGCAGCAUUUCAGACAGAUUACUUCGGUUUGCAGUCUUUUAUGACUGAGUGGCGGACGGGUGAGUAACGCGUGGGUAACCUGCCUCAUCCAGGGGGAUAGCAGCUGGAAACGGCUGGUAAUACCGCAUAAGCGCACAGUACCACAUGGUACAGUGUGAAAAACUCCGGUGGUAUGAGAUGGACCCGCGUCUGAUUAGCUUGUUGGCGGGGUAACGGCCCACCAAGGCGAGGAUCAGUAGCCGAGCUGAGAGGGGGACCCGACACAUUGGGGCUGAGACACAGCCCAGACUCCUACGCAAGGGAGGAGUGGGGAAUAUUGCACAAUGGAGGAAACUCUGAUGCAGCGGCGCCGGGUAAGUGAAGAAGUAGUUCGCUAAGUGAAUCUCUAUCAGAAAGGAAGAUAGUGACGGUACCUGACUAAGAAGCUCCGGCUAAAUACGUG